Molecule: ribosomal RNA, 397 nt
Filed under: uncultured bacterium
Lineage: Bacteria
Description: partial 16S ribosomal RNA
Rfam family: Bacterial small subunit ribosomal RNA
Source: RNAcentral
AUUGAACGCUGGCGGCAUGCUUUACACAUGCAAGUCGAACGGCAGCGGGGGCUUCGGCCUGCCGGCGAGUGGCGAACGGGUGAGUAAUGCAUCGGAACGUGCCCAGUCAUGGGGGGAUAACUACGCGAAAGCGUAGCUAAUACCGCAUACGCCCUGAGGGGGAAAGGCGGGGGAGUCGCAAGACCUCGCGUGAUUGGAGCGGCCGAUGUCGGAUUAGCUAGUUGGUGGGGUAAAGGCCUACCAAGGCGACGAUCCGUAGCGGGUCUGAGAGGAUGAUCCGCCACACUGGGACUGAGACACGGCCCAGACUCCUACGGGAGGCAGCAGUGGGGGAAUUUUGGUACAAUGGGGGGCGAACCCCUCGAUCCAGCCACUGCCGCGUGAGUGAAGAAGGACC